Brienomyrus brachyistius is the source of this 1263-nucleotide long non-coding RNA. RefSeq lists it as uncharacterized. The record is from RefSeq and is a predicted model, not a curated record. NCBI's taxonomy places the organism in Eukaryota, Metazoa, Chordata, Actinopteri, Osteoglossiformes, Mormyridae. The transcript is spliced from 2 exons.
CGUAUCGCUUUAGACAGCGAAUGAGUACUUUCAUAUCAGUUAUGUGCCCCCUGCAUAUGAUCAUUUUUGCAUAUAAAAUAAGGGGGGCGACUUACGCAGGGUUGCCAACUUGGGUCAGCUUGUUGGCAUGAGAUUUUCAAUUCGGGACAAGCCUACACACGUAUUCACAUUUAUAUAACAGUUUCAUUACUUUGUAAAUAGUCUUUAUGGUUUGCAAACUGCCGAAACGCUUCUGAUGCAGCCAGUUUUAGGUUUUAAAUGGAUUAAUGGAGAUUCUCCAUAAGAUUUAUUGCUGUGAGCGUUUGAGUCCGAAAGCACGAGUCUCGCGCCACAUACGUCAGAGUGGCAAUCUGCUUACAGUCGAAUCGGAGCCGAACGCGGCCGAAAGUCGCCGACGAGCUGCAUAGUAUCGCAUUGUCUGUUAUGGUACGAAUGGGCGUCCGUGACAACAACUUGAUUGCUUUUGAAUCACAUGUACUUAUCUUCUCAAACUGCUUUCGAGCAUCUUAACGACUGGUUGCAUUUUGAAGUGUCUUGCCAUCUAAAGAAUGGAGAACAAAGAAAUAAACAUAGUUAAGAUUAAAAUUAAACUUACAAUUAAAGUAAAAAUAACAACGAAGGAAGGUGUCAUUAAGAAGACAGAUGACACAGACAAGCCCCGAUCGACACGGAGGGUGCCUGACAUGCCGAAGACUGGAAGAGAAGAAAAUCAACGUGGCCAGAGGGUUCGUCCGUGGAGCGGGAGGGACAGGCUACCCACGCUGGAGGAAGAAGGAGCGACGAGGAAGAGGCCCCAACUGAAGUUCCUCCGUCGUCCGGACAGCAACGGCUCCUGCGAUCUACAACCAGAGAGAGGCCAGGGGCAGCGUCAGCGAUCGGCGGAACAGCAACUCCUGACAAGGAUCCAUGGACUUAUGGGUUAUGGUGGGAGAAGGAGGACUGACUACAGAGACAUUGUUCCUGAUGGACUUGUGGGUUAUGGGCGGGGACAGAGGGAUAAUAGCGAUGUUGUUGAUGGACUUGUGGGUUAUGGGCGGGGACGGAGGGAUAAUAGAGAUACUGUUUAAGUGUUAAUAUACAAAAGAGAUAGGAUAAGAUAAGAUAAGAUAGGAUAAGUUAAAAUAGGAUAAGAUAAGCUAAGUUAAAACAUAAUAAGAUAGGUUAAGUUAACAUAUGAUAAGAUAUGCUGUUAAAAUAUCAUAAGAUAGGCUAAGUUAAAAUAGGAUAAGAGCUUUACAAUAAAACAUAUACUUACUUUUCAAA